Gallus gallus (chicken) is the source of this 4472-nucleotide long non-coding RNA. RefSeq lists it as uncharacterized. The transcript has 5 exons. The record is from RefSeq and is a predicted model, not a curated record. NCBI's taxonomy places the organism in Eukaryota, Metazoa, Chordata, Aves, Galliformes, Phasianidae.
AGCGCCGCCGCAGCCCGCUCGGGCCGCUCCAUCCCGCCGCUGCCGGACACGAUCCCGCCGCGCCUCACCCGCUCCGCUGGCCCCACCCGGCCGCGCCGCGCCGCACCGGAAGCGCGAGCCGCUGCCUCCCCCAAUGGGAAGCGGAGACGUCACGCUCAGGGAAGAGACGAGAGGCGACUGAACGGCGUGCUGUGGGGCACAGGAAAAUAAUAUCCAACGAUAACAUCACUGAGUACCUGCACACUUGAUCAAAGGAUGGGAUGCAGGGUUUUUUGGUAGGCUCCAUGUCACCUGAAAAAAUAGCAUUUCCUGUGUGAAUACCGGGGAAAGGAGGCAUUAGAGAUCUGCAAAGCCAGGGAUUGCAGCCUUCAGCAUUAAGCAGCCACUGCUGUUCCCUACAAAGCAUGCGGUGAUCAUUGCAGCUACAGGGAAAGAGAAAAGAACUGACAGUGAAUUAGACAGUACUAGUGAUAAGACUAUAGAAGACUUGCUGUGCUGCAUAAAACUCCUGUGAUGAUGACAUGGGAGAUAUCUGCAGACUGAUUCCACUUUUGGCCCAGGAACUGUCUGAAAAGCCAAAGGGAAAAAGGCCAGUAUAUAUGAAAGUGUGCUGACUAGAGUGGCAGAAAGCUGUACCUACACUUGAUCUCAGUCACUGCAACAAGAAAGGAGUCCUUGCCAUAAGAUGCGCCAUUAUUAGAAAAGCUAGCAGGAUUCUUUACUGGAUUUUUCCCCCAACACCCGAGGGGUGUUUCCUUCCAGGACAACAUUGACAGCACUGAUGAAUGAGCGCGCUGAGAAGAUGCUAUUAAUCUGUAUCAUACUUACCUUGAGAACCAAGGCUUUCUUUCAAAGACUGUCAAUUCAGUAAGACUCACCAACACAUUCACAUAAAAAGAAAGAAAAGGAUACAGCAGGAACGAAGGAAAAGGAGGUUUCAAGAUUUUGCCCUAUUCUGUCUUUUUGAACUUCUCAGUCAUAUCAAGGUAAACAGACAAAAAUAGAUGGAAAAGGAAGAAGCAAGUCUGGGUGUCUCAGUAGGAUACAAACUUGCCUUGUGGCCUUUAUAAAGUGGUAAUAAAAGCAUGGAAAAAUCUUCUUUCCAGCCUAUCUCACAGACCUUAGAAGAUUAAAUUAAGUGGUUAGAAAAAGAGCCUUCAGUGUAGUAAUAAGACACCGUCAUUCACUUCAUUCUAUUCCCUGCACCUUCAGUCUACAGGUAGCUUCCUUACAGGUCUGAUUACAACAAGUUUCUUUGCCAGAAGCAUUAAAUUUACUUUCUGUUGGCCUCUGUAUAGAACAGAGUAAUAACAUUGCCCUUUCUGUCUACAGCUUUUGACGUGCAGGUUUCAAAACACUUUACUACCUGUAGGAAUUAUGCUGUACUAGGGAUAUAUAGAUACCACCUCCAGGUACUAAUGAAGGAAUUAAAGCCUGGAGGGCUAAUUACACACAGAACUGAGAACAAGAAUCCAGGCAUCGAAGGCAAUAUUUUUGGCCUUGAAAGAGUUAGCCUGAGUGAAAUAAGCAAAAGAGGAAUUCCUCAGGGAUCUGUAUAAUAAUAAAAUCUGCCUUGAGGAUGCCGAUGCAGUUUUCGUACAGCAGCAGAAUCCUGCAGCACACUAAGGAUGAACCUAGGCCUAACACAAGUAGUCUCCAGCCUCAAUCUUGAUAAGUCAAGCAGGUGUCAACAAGAACAACCUGUCAUAGAACCAGUUUGUCUUGGAGGACAAAUUGAGCCUGAGUCAGUAGUGCACCCUUGUGGCAAUUAAGGCUGAUUGCACGUUGGCCUACAUGACUAAAAGCUACUUAAAGGGGGCUUGCAAAGAAUGGAGCCAGAUUCUUCUCCAGGGUGCAUAACAAGAUUACGGAAAGCAUGUUAAAAAUUACAGCAGUGCAGAUUGUGAUUAGAUAAAAGGUGAAAAAAAAUCACAAUGAGAACAGCUGAGCACUGGAUCAAGUGCACUGAAAGUAAUCUCUGUCCUUGGAGAUGUGCAGAAUUCACCUCAACAAAGCUCUCAGCAACCUCAUCUAACUCUUAAUCUGGCCCUGCUUUAAAGCAGAGAGGACGGACCAAAGACCUCCAUAAGUCCCAUCCAACCUGACAUCUUUCUAUGACUCUACUAAGUGACCUGAAAAUCUAAUAUCAAUUUCAGUUUUUGAAAUAAUUUGCCUAAUGAAAUUAUUCCAUACCUUGCAAAGGUCAAUAUUCACUUCCUGUACACCAGUAAAUAGAAGCCACACUUCAGGCCUGAAGUGGCUGUAUUUCAGUCACUCAUCUAACGUUUAUGAUGUAUGUUGAGGAGGAACUGAUGCUGCAGAAGUAUAACAUUUCUAUCAAAGGCUAUGGCAAUAUGGAUUCUUUCCCACAAGGGAUGGUCUGUUUGGUUAAGAUGCCAUGAAACCACUGGUUCUUCUGUUCUAAUCUCCAUGUAUCACUGCAUCUCAUCCUUUAACUGAUGUGUUUGUCCUCCUGCACUUAAAAGAAAGCACGCCAACAAAACUACAACAAGAAGAACAAACCAACAUCACAAACAUUAAAUUACGCUGAGGUAAGCCAAAGUAGAUUUUUCAGAUGGGGCAAGAAAGAUAAAAUGAAGGAUGCCUGAAUCAGAAGAAACAAGGCUGUAAUCAUUUUUCUUGAAAUCAGGGGCACCUACCUGGGUACCCACUGAGGCCAUAGGCUUUCCACCGGCUAACCGGCUGCAGUCCUGCCCUGCAGGCAUCUUGGUCGCUGACGGAAGAAAUACUGAGCUGCGAUCUGAACACCUGGUAAAAGAAAGCAGAUCUGUUAAAGGGAGGAGAAAGAAGAAAUGGAUACAAAGCUCAUUCAAAAAGAGCGCCUGUAGAGUGCUGCCAUAUUCCAUUAAAAUAAAGGGAACCUUGUGAAAACAGGGGAACUAUUGUCUGAACAACUGUGACCAGAACAGGACAUACAGAGCUGCUAACAGAGCCUACAGUUUUUACAAAACUUAGGAAUCGGGAGAGAUGUCCUUCAUUCAUAAAGGAUGAUUUGUAUUAAGAAAAAUAAGAAAUGCACUGUUUGUCCAUUUCCACAUUACAGCUCAAUCUGUAAAAACCAUUCUGCUGAAUAUCAAUCUCCAUGAGAGAGCAAUACGUAGUCCCCAUAACACCUUACACCUUCAAAGCAUUUUCCAAACAUCACAGUUGUUGCUCAGAAUUCCAUAGGGUAGAUGACUGUUCUUACCUGUAAUUACAUGAGAAAAGGGACAGUGAUGAAGUUGCCAAAACUGUCUGAUGUAAAGGACUGCAAAAACCCUAUAAAUGCUGAAUACCACAUUGUUACCACAAGGGCAAGGAGCACAAGGCUCAGCAAGAUGUAUUUUCUCAGUGUACUACACUGGAUUGCAGUAAUACCUGUUUCAGCUGUAAUAAGCCCACACUGUUACUGAAAGAAACGUAUCCACCACAUUCUCACUGCCUUUCUUACCCAGGACUGGGAACUUUCCUGGGGAGGACAGAGUAGAGGUACAUUGGUUUUGUUGCAGCUCAGUUCCCCAGUCCUGCUCUCCAUACAGCUGUGCAGAAAUACAGCUUUAUGUUAGGAAUUGGGGAAAUAAGCAGGGGGAGGUAGACAAGACUUUGUUUGUACCACUUUAAAGCAUACAUGAAAUUAAGGCUCAAGAGUGAGCGCUCCCAUUCUGCAGUGGCAAAUGAGCUAUAAAUUGGUCUCUAUGGGCUGAGAAGACGACUCUAAACUAACGCUGGGGGCAGUUUCUGGCAACACGCUCAGUUUUACCAACUUCUCAAUUCUGCCAAAAGCAGCUCUGUAACUGCCAGCCUUGAAGAGCUUUAUUCUGAGUCCUGUCUGCAGAACACACCCAGGAGGGAAAUGCCUUUGACUGAGCCUUUACUGCUUUUCCGUCUUUUCCAACUGCUGACACACCGGCUGCUGCCAGGGCUUCCCAAGAACGAGACCUGCUCCUACACUGAAAGACUGUAUGUGCUGAACUAGCAAAAUAUGCCUCGUAGCAGAGCAGCUGGGGAUGUCACACUUCACUGGAGGUCUCCAUCACUUGAAGCACUUUUCUGAGAGAAAAAGAACAACAGUAUCUGACCCAAUCUAGUUGGCCUGCAGUUCUUUAAGGGAAAAAACUGUAUACUUUUAACCUGGGGGAGGGAAGAGGAAUCAAAGACUCUUUCACUAAAAAGCUAUCAGCUAAUCCCAGAAGGUAAGAGGCACAAGAGAAGGACACGGAGAGAGGACAGAUGCUUGUGAUGCUUUCAAGGACUGUAGUGCCAGAGUCCUUUAUUUGAGAAAGGAUUGCUGCAAGCUCAGGAAAGGCUGAAGCGUUAACAACUACCGCGCUCAAUGCUAAUGCCUGAACAAUUUCUUACAGGUCAGGUUUUGUGUCUAGUUGACAGUAUCAAAAUUACUGUCUGAAGAUAGAAAUGUACACACUAUAAUACAACAAUAAAAAUAAAAGGCUAAGUAUUGGGAAUAUGAAAAA